CCAGGGUGUCACUGGGUUUGUUGCUACCUAUUCGCAAUUCCACCACUCGGGAUGUUUAAGACGGAAUCAGCACGAGUGUAAGAAUUUCACACCAGUAAGAAUAUAAAACAAAGAAGUGACAUAGAGACAAAAGGACACAGGGCCAGAAUCAGGCACGAACGUCGACGUCGAUGGAGGGUGAAGCGGACACGAUCCGCUGGAGGCCAUCGCUUGAGCAGCCGGGGCCAGCGAGCCUUCUUGGGCCAGGAGUGCAUCAGCUCCACCGUCGGCACCAAUUCCACUUCGAUCUGGGCCUCUGAUGUCUCCACGGCAACACGGACCACCGAGCCCAUCGUGUCAAGGACGCUGACUUUACCUGGCAAGCCAGAACAAGCCAAAACAUCAAGCGUUUUGCAUCCAUCGAUCAUCUGUGCCGGUGAAUUUACAUCACCGAUACCUCUUAUUUAUUAUUAUUUAUCUAUUUACUCAUUCACCAUUUUACUCCUGCAUAAAACUUAUGUACUCUUCUAUCAUUGCAUGCUCUAAACAUUCUAAACAUUCAUACUUUAAUCACUGUUUACUUCUACAUUGUGUAUUAAUGUUGUCAUUGAUUUUUUUUUUAGCUUGUCCAGUCUACCACUGCAUAUAUAUGUAUAUAUAUGUAACCCCACAGGCAUGGGGAACGUUAUUUCGCAUUGCCGUAUGCAGUGUAUUGAAUAUGGUUGGUGUGACAAGUCAAGCUCCACUUGACUUGACUUGAUUUGAUUAAACAAAAUGGCUCCACCUUCUGGAUGAGGCUCACACCUGCCAUAGUGUGAGUCUUCUGUAACAUAAAGCUAAAUCUUCAUAAACCUA
Long non-coding RNA from Paramormyrops kingsleyae, 834 nucleotides. RefSeq lists it as uncharacterized. The record is from RefSeq and is a predicted model, not a curated record. NCBI's taxonomy places the organism in Eukaryota, Metazoa, Chordata, Actinopteri, Osteoglossiformes, Mormyridae.